GGGACGGGGAUGCAUCAGUAACGGCGAGUGAAGCGGCAAGAGCUCAAAUUUGAAAGCUGGCCCCUUCGGGGUCCGCGUUGUAAUUUGCAGAGGAUGCUUCGGGUGCAGCCCCCGUCUAAGUGCCCUGGAACGGGCCGUCAUAGAGGGUGAGAAUCCCGUCUGGGACGGGGUGUCUGCGUCCGUGUGAAGCUCCUUCGACGAGUCGAGUUGUUUGGGAAUGCAGCUCUAAAUGGGUGGUAAAUUUCAUCUAAAGCUAAAUACUGGCCGGAGACCGAUAGCGCACAAGUAGAGUGAUCGAAAGAUGAAAAGCACUUUGAAAAGAGAGUUAAACAGCACGUGAAAUUGUUGAAAGGGAAGCGUUUGCGACCAGACUCGCCCGCGGGGUUCAGCCGGCAUUCGUGCCGGUGUACUUCCCCGUGGGCGGGCCAGCGUCGGUUUGGGCGGCCGGUCAAAGGCCCUCGGAAUGUAUCACCUCUCGGGGUGUCUUAUAGCCGAGGGUGCAAUGCGGCCUGCCUGGACCGAGGAACGCGCUUCGGCUCGGACGCUGGCGUAAUGGUCGUAAAUGACCCGUCUUGAAACCG
Molecule: ribosomal RNA, 581 nt
Filed under: Aspergillus fumigatus
Lineage: Eukaryota; Fungi; Ascomycota; Eurotiomycetes; Eurotiales; Aspergillaceae
Description: partial large subunit ribosomal RNA
Rfam family: Eukaryotic large subunit ribosomal RNA
Source: RNAcentral